UUAAUUGCUGCUGUAUUUGCACUCCAUCGUUUUACCCUGAAAACCCUAAACCCUAAAUCAGAGCUCCAACAAUGGCAGACCUCCCAAUCUCAGUCGACAGUAUUAAGCGAUUCUGGCACUCCCAGGUUCACGACCCAGAAAAGUGGGCUUUCAACAUGAGAUUUUUGCGUGCUGCAGGAAUGUUUGGGGGCUCAAUCAUUCUUCUACGAAACUUUGGAGAUGCUAUUGCUUUGUGAAUCUGGAUGAUGGGAUUUGAAGCGUGCUUUACGCUUGAAUUACAAACUAGUUUCCUAUCUCUCUUAGCCUUUGCUGUGUCUUAGUAAACUCAAGCCCUUAGUAAUUUAAGAUCUUACUUUUCAUUAGUAUUAGUAUCAAGUUUUGGCCAUACACAGCAUACCACAGAGAGUUAUAUCAUUUUGGUUUGAAGUUUGAAUUUAAUGUUAGUUGCAAAGGCUACUUGAAAAUUGUUGCCUUUGCUUUACCUUUUUUUUGUUCUAAUUUCAGUUGAAUGAAAUAAAUCUUUGGUUCAGUCA
Long non-coding RNA from Chenopodium quinoa (quinoa), 533 nucleotides. RefSeq lists it as uncharacterized. Lineage: Eukaryota; Viridiplantae; Streptophyta; Magnoliopsida; Caryophyllales; Amaranthaceae. The record is from RefSeq and is a predicted model, not a curated record. The transcript has 2 exons.